GCGUAUAGCAACAGGCUCGUAUCGAGCCUGGUUCUUUUGUUUAUUGAUCUCAACUCUUGGUGCUAUUACAACGCAGGGGUACAUGGAUAUUUAAAGGAGAUAAGCUAGUCCUAAACUAGUCCUAGUCCAAUUACAAAUCCUAUGCUAGGUGACUGUUCCGGUUCAACACGAACUCGGACGCCGUGGUUAACUCCAACAAUCACCCCCUAAACACGAUGUCCUCAUUUUACAGCUUGGACGCCGAUCCUUCUCCGCAUCUCUGUAAACUUCUGUCGUCCCAAAGACUUGGUCAGGAUAUCUGCAAGCUGAUCGUCGGUGCAAACGUAGUUGACUUCAAUCUUGCCUUCUUCCACGCACUGUCGUAUGUAGUGAUACCUUAUAUCUAUGUGCUUACUCCUGUCAUGAUGCACUGGAUUCUUACACAGGGCAAUCGCAGAUUUGUUGUCAACAUUGAGCACCACUCUUUCAGGUUCUUUAUCUGUGAGGUCACCGAGUAGCCUUUCUAGCCACACACCUUGACCCGCUGCGGUUGCAGCUGCUAUAUACUCUGCUUCGCAGGACGAUAAUGCGACCACCUUCUGCUUUUGUGAUAGCCAAGUUACUAUGCUCCUGCCCAAGAAAUAUGCCAGACCCGAAGUACUUUUACGGUCAUCCACAUCUCCUGCCAGGUCGCUAUCACUGUAGCCAAGUAGCUCCACCAUCUCCUUCUUUUUCUCUCUCAAAUAGACACAACCGAAGUUUGUUGUCCCUUUGAUGUACCUGAGUAUAUGUUUGACAGCUGCCCAAUGUUCAGUCGUGGGUGCUUCCAUGAAGCGACUCACUAUGCCAACGGAAUAGGCCAAGUCCGGUCGUGUAUUCACAAGAUACCUUAGGCUUCCAACCACACUUCUAUAAUCCGUUGCAUCAACCGCAGGGGCUUCACUCCUUUUGCUAAGUUUAAGCCGAGGCUCCAUUGGAGCAUAAGUUGGUUUGCAAUCCUCCAUGCUACAACUUUCAAGUAUCUUCUUUGCAUAUGCCUCUUGACAUAUUGUGACCCCGUUCGGCUUUUGUUGUACCUCGAUCCCGAGGUAGUAUGUCAAGAGCCCUAGAUCACUCAUCUUGAAUAGCUCCUUCAUUUGUAGCUUGAAUCUUGCAAUCUCCUCUUCGUCUGCUCCAGUUAUCAAGAGAUCAUCAACAUAGAUGCCCACUAAGAGACGAUCCUUGCCUUUACCUCGCUUGUACAUAGCAUGCUCGAGUGGACUUUUCUCAAAACCAAGAGAAAUCAAUGUACGGUCAAGCUUGAUGUUCCAUGCCCGAGGAGCUUGAUGUAGCCCGUACAAUGCCUUGUGUAGCUUCAACACCUUGUGUUCUUCUCCUUCUUUGAUGUACCCCGGUGGUUGCUUCACGUACACUUCUUCUUCCAACUCCCCGUUCAAAAAUGCGGAUUUUACAUCCAUGUGAUGUAGCCUCCAAGAUUCUUGAGCCGCGAGAGCUAUAACUAGCCUCACCGAUUCCAUCCUUGUGACUGGAGCGAACACCUCCUUGAAGUCCACACCUUGCUCUUGCACGAAUCCUUUAGCUACGAGCCGCGCUUUAUGCUUGACCAAGUUUCCUUCAGCAUCCUUCUUGACUUUGUACACCCACUUGAGCCCUAUGGAUUUGUGACCGUUGGGAAGAUCAGCGAGCUCCCAUACUUUGUUGUCUCGUAUUGAUCCCAACUCUUCAUCCAUAUCACGACGCCAACACUCCUCAGUAUUUGCUUCUUCAAAUUUCGUCGGUUCCUCGACGCUAAGCAAACAUUGUCGUCCUCUUCUUAUAACUUUGACAGGAUUAAUAGUACGAAGUGCUUCCUCCGGAUAUAAAUCCAUCACUGGUCGAAGACGAACUGGUGUCGGCGGACGUUCCCUUGUCUCCUGUUCUGUCGAAGACGAGGAAUUUUCAUCUUGUGGAGUUGCCAAACUCCUGUUUUCUGGCGAUUCAGGUUCUCUUCCAGGCGCAGCUCCCAGGCUGCUCCCCUGUGGUACGCAGUCACUUGAUCGAGCGCUUCGAGCAUUGCUUGGUGUGUUGCACGAGCCAUCGCACGCAUCGUCUGCCGCGUCCUGCUGCGUGCCUUCGCGCGCCUCUAUCCCUGCUUUAUCUGGCGCGUUCGGCUGCGCUUCGUUGUCCAGAGAAUCACUCAGCGUCGUUGUAGUCUCCGGUUGAUUAUCGGCAUGCUCGUAUUCGUUGUAAACAACGUGAAAGAUUUCAUCAGAGAUCGGGUAUACCGGCUCGGUAGAGUUCCAAUUCCAUGACCUUGCUUCUUCAAAGACCACGUCACGAGUCACAACCACCUUAUUGGUAGAGGGGUUGCACGCACGGUACGCCUUCGAGCCUGCUUCAUAGCCAACCAAUAUCAUUGGAGUACUCCGAUCCGCCAACUUACUUGUAUGCCCGGCCACCGUCUUCACAUGCGCCACACACCCGAAAGUACGAAGAUGAUCAACCGCGGGCUUAUGUCCGUACCAUGCUUCGUACGGCGUCAUCCCAACCACACUCUUGGUUGGAGCCCGGUUCAGCAAAUAAACGGCCGUAUUGACCGCCUCACCCCAAAACUUGCUCGGGACCCCUUUUCUCUUCAUCAUGCUUCGUGCCAUUGCCACCACGAUUUGAUUUCUCCGUUCCACAACACCGUUUUGCUGCAGUGAAUAUGGCGCCGUAAGAUACCGCUUGAUCCAUGUGCUUCGCAAAAUUCUGUGAAUUCACGAGACUUGAACUCACCCCCCCGAUCGGUACGGAGGGCCUUUAGCUUGGCUUCGGAUUCUACCUCGGCCGCCAUCUUUACUUUCCUGAAGGCUUGCAAAGCUUGGUCCUUCGUCUUCAACAACACAAUCCACAUGUAUCUGCUGAAGUCGUCGACGAUGAGUAAGAAGUAUUUGUUCCCAGGUGGGGUAGCCGGUGUAAUGGGUCCGCACAAGUCUCCAUGGACCAACUCAAGAGCUUUACUUGCUCUAAAGUUUCCCUCUCUCGGGAACGAGGCCCGCCUUUGUUUCCCAACAAGGAAACCGUCGCACACUUGCUCAACAUGAUCAAUGCACGGUAGGCCACGUACCAUCUCCUUUUGUCCAAGUUGCCGAAGAGCCUGGAAAUUUAGAUGACCGUAGCGCGCGUGCCACUUCCAUGCCGAGUCCUCCAUGCUUGACAAGAGACAUACUGGAUCCACACGAUCCAAGUUGAGGACGUAGAGUCUGUUUGGCGACCUCUGCACCUUCAUGAUCAGCAUCCUCUGACGGUCAUACCCCCAUAGAUAGCCAUCUUUGAGCACAAUCUUGCAACCACGCUCCUCGAGCUGGCCAAGACUUAUGAUGUUGCUCUUUAGCUUGGGAAUAUAGUACACAUCUGUGAGUACCUUGUGACCGCCAUUCUUCAGCUCAAACAGGACAGUACCUCGCCCUGUGAUGUCAACGGUCCGCCCGUCACCGAACCGAACCGUGCCUCCAACCGAGAGAUUUAGCUCAGAAAACUGGUCCUUGUCACCGGUCAUGUGGUUGCUUGCUCCCGUGUCGAGGUACCACACGUGCCUCGCCGUGUUCACCCUCUUCUUGUCAUGAAGGUAAACCUUCUCUUCGUCGAGCGAGACAACCUCGGUAGCCGGUGCCUUCGGAGCUGGACCAUCCUCGUCCAUAAGCUCGCAUACUUCGACCAUGAGCAUCAUAUCGCUAUCAUCGCCUCCCUUGGCCAUGAGAGCUUUUUCCUUCGGUGGACUCUUGCAAUCAGACUUGAAGUGACCGAGGAUUCCACAAUUGUGACACCUUACUUUUUUUAUGUCAAAUUUUCUCCUUGGUUUUCUAGCCUUUUCUUCCUGUCCAGCGAGGUCCUUUUUCGCCGGGCUUUGCUUCUCCUUUGCUUUACUACCGCUUGUGGAUCCACCUUGCUUUCCUUUCGACAGGGCCAUCCAUUGCGCCAUUGUAAGCAUGAGAUGCUCACUCUCCUUCGAAUCGCCGAAGCUGAGACGAAUUCUCUCGUUGUGGGCCUUGAACCUUCCGACGAGAUCCUCGACCGUGAGAGUGUUCAGGUCAAGACAUUGCUCGAUCGAUGUGACGAUUUGGAUGUAGCGUGCCGGCGCGACGCGCAAAAAUCGUCGGACGAUCGCAACUUCUUCUAGAGUUGAAUCAUAGUCGCGUAUGCCGUUGACGAGGGUCUUGAGACGGGAGGCAAACUGAUCAACCGUCUCGCUUUCCUCCAUCUUCAGGCACUCGUAGCUUCUCAUGAGGGACUGAAGGUGUGCUUCCUUGACACGGUCAUGACCCUGGUGCAGGAUCUUGAUGGUCUCCCAUGCCUCCUUCGCCGUUUUCUUUCCGACGAGGUGUUGCAGCACAUCCUUCGGCAUGGCGGAGUAGAUCGCCGUUAACGCCUGACGAUCCGUCCGGUACUUUGCCGCGCCCUUCGCGUACUCGGCGCCGCCGGGAUCGACAGCUUCCCAGAAUUCCGCUCCCUCCAUCGCGACCUCCAUGUUCAUCGCCCAUAGUGCGUAGUCCUCUCGAUCCAGCCGGGGGAAUUGCGACCCCCCAACCAUCGGCAUCGGUGCUCUAGCUCCCGCCACAACAAUCUCCUUGCCCGGGUUUGACAUGAUCCUUCGAUUGCUUUUCGAAGAUCACGUCAAUAAACCAAGCUCUGAUACCAAUUGUUGGCCCAGAACCGACGCCGAGUAUUUUUUGGCCCAGAACCGACGCCGAGUAUUUUCCGGCGACGGUGACGAUCGACGACGAAGACGAACGACUGGCUGAACUCGACGGAGUAUUUUACGUCGAGAUGUACUGCACCAACAUAGUACAGCUAGCAAGCUAGCAAGCUGCUUGAUCGAUCCGAAGCAUCCCACGCACGUAGCCGGCGUAUAGCAACAGGCUCGUAUCGAGCCUGGUUCUUUUGUUUAUUGAUCUCAACUCUUGGUGCUAUUACAACGCAGGGGUACAUGGAUAUUUAAAGGAGAUAAGCUAGUCCUAAACUAGUCCUAGUCCAAUUACAAAUCCUAUGCUAGGUGACUGUUCCGGUUCAACAUGAACUCGGACGCCGUGGUUAACUCCAACAAGGUUAAGGUAUCUUAAGUUCCCCAUGGAGCCCAGUA
This 5080-nucleotide long non-coding RNA is filed under the name Hordeum vulgare. Its description in RNAcentral is "long non-coding RNA (HVUL_LNC006211)". Lineage: Eukaryota; Viridiplantae; Streptophyta; Magnoliopsida; Poales; Poaceae. The record is from RNAcentral.